Long non-coding RNA from Gasterosteus aculeatus aculeatus (three-spined stickleback), 18513 nucleotides. NCBI's taxonomy places the organism in Eukaryota, Metazoa, Chordata, Actinopteri, Perciformes, Gasterosteidae. The record is from Ensembl.
GUAGCUGAGGAGAAGGAGACCUGAGUUAAUAAGGGAGUAGAGAAAUAUCUCCAAAAUAUCUUCAUGUUCUAUUUAUGUUUGGUUUAGCAAGAAACACAAACAUAUGAAAUUGAUUUUAUUUCCUUUUUCAAAUACCUGAUUGUACAGAUGAAACAAAGUACUUUUUGUCCAGGAAUUGAAAAAGUUCUGGAUUAAUUCAACUCUUUCUGUGACGUCAGUCACUGGGAGUUGAUGUGUGUUUGAUUAGUGGGACUGGAUUCUUCAGCCAUCAUCAGAGAUGAUGUACUACUGCUCCUUCCACAGCUUCCAGCCAUGCACCUGUUCCCCUCGUCCUGCUGUAUCUCCUGCGCUCACACACACGAAACACACGCGCCUGUGGUUUCAACUUGGCUUUUUCUCAUUAAAAUUUGACAGGUAUUUGACAGCGCAGGUUUCCACAUAGAUCGUGCCACGGUGACAGAUCUCCGACAGCUCGAUGAUAACUGCUGCCUUAUGGCAGGAAACACACGUGUCCCUCCCGGGUUACGACAAUAGGCAGCUGGGAGUGAUGGACGGAUCUGAUGAGACGUCGCAGAGCUGGAACAGGUGGAAAGGAUUCACUCCGGGACAGGAACAAGAUAGGGACUGGGAACCUGUGUGAGGUCACUGUGGGACUGACUGCAUACUGCAGUGCUCUCUUCCUCCCUUGCCUCAUCCUCCUCCAACCCGCUGCUGGUAAAUCCGCUCCUUAGCGCUGCUUUUAACAUUGCUCCAGCGUGCAGUCUUUUUAACGCUGUCUGGCGUUCACUCCUUUCCCCGUGCCCUCUGUCAACAGUAAACUUUCUGAAAAGCGAGCUUAACAGGCCGUGAAAGGGCGGCACAGAUGGCUACAUCCUAGGUGGUAAUUAUCAACCACUACCUCCCAACACACGAAAAAAAAAAAAGAAAAAAAGAAACAAGCCAAGGUGUUGCCGUCAGGUCAACUGAUGCCAUUGACACGUUCGUAAGCUCGCUGGCAAGUGAGCUCGAAGCAACGUACAGAAAUGGGCCUUCUGGAGGCCAGACAGCACGUUGACAGUGUCACAGGUCAAGCACGGCCAUAAGAGGAUGAUUUUUGGCUUCAGUGCACAUCAGCCAGACGGAGAUCUAUAUUAAAAACACAAAUCUGGUUGGCAAGAAAAUAACAGUUUUUUCGUUACACUACUGCAGCCAGGCGCUUGCUUAGCUGGAUGUCACGUCUUGUUUAAGUGGCGUUCCUGAGACGUAUUUUAAUUGCAUUCUAAUGGGCUGGUUCUGAUGCUGUGUAAUGUACAGUAGGCAGGCAAUAAGAGCCAAUUAGUCGGAAAGUGUUUCCUCCAGCACAAGGUGUUGGUAAUGUCUGAGUUAAUGCAGACUCUCAACAAGCAAGAGGCUGCUUUUUGAAGCGCUUAAGCAUUUAUUUUGCUGGGGAUCUAUUAAAAUAGAAGGUGACAGCUAAUUUGAAUCCUUUUUAAUUUGGGGAUUCAAUACACUACAAGGUGAUAGGCGAGGGUCCCCUACCUCCGUACGAGCCGCCCGCCGCAUGCAAAAAUAUGUAAAUGCUGCUCGUAUUAGAAUCUUUGUCUGGUUGUCAUUCUCACAUGGGGCACAUCAAAGCCAUAUGACCUGAUUUUGCACCUGCUGUUUGAUUAAAUUUACAAGACAGACACAGUCUCCACUCCCGGUGAUAUACAAAUCUGGCUUUAUUACCCCUGCACUGUAAUUUACAAGGCAAUUUACUGCUGGGAGGUAACGGUGCCUGCCAAAGUGCUCCCUCUGAAAAGGUACACAAACAGGCACAACAACAAGUUAUCCCAUUUCCCUUACUGAAGAUGAGACCAACAAUGCCAAGACCACUCGAUAAAAUCUAACUAGGGUACUAGUGUUUGGGUUCUUCAGGCCCAGGAGUCAUCUGAGGUUUGUUUAGUUGUCAAACUGAUUUUAUUGUAAAAACCUUCCAUGAACAUCUCAAAAAUUUAUGAGACCAAGGGUUGAGUUUACAAGAAACAUGUGCAGAUAAAUUGCAUUGGAUUCAUUUUAAAGCAAAAAGUGACCAAGGCUUACAGUGAAGAAGUGAAAGAUUUGUAUUUUGCUUUAUCACUCCAUACAGGAAAUCCAGGGUUUGAAGAGUAACAGACUCUUUCCCCAUGACAACGGAGAUUCAUGAAGGCUUAAUGCUCAUCAACAGCUACCUACUAUAAGUUGCUAUAAUAACGUCCAAAACAGCAGCAAAAACUGCCACAGCUUCCACUGCAAGACAGCAUUACCACAUGUUCAACAAGCCCACAACUGGCCCACUUUUUCCUUUUGUGUGAGGUGAAGUCCAUUGAACAGUUGUUCUCUUGCCCUUCACAAACACCGGAGCUAUGUGUCUAUUUUCUCUGGUCCAGUUGCCUCAACUCUUUCUUACUUCAAGGCUCUUUCUUACUAAAAUGCCUUCAUUUGGCGACACCUAGUGGUGCUGUAGAAAAGGACACUGUAAACAGCAACGCAGGCGAGGGAAAUUCAAGCCACAUACAGCACAUGCAAUAAAUGAUUAGCACAAAAAAAGAAACCACAAGUGCUUACGAUGUAUUUUUCUACUAGAAAAAUAGGGUUUUGCUCUUUACAAACUACAAUUUAAGAAGAUUAUUAUGAACAAGGUGACCAUCAGGUGCGCCCGUGAGCAUGCAUGUGAAUCUCAGAAAUGCCCCCGGUUGAAGUUGCGUGUGCAUCUUAGGCAAUCCAUAAUAGAUGAUGAAAUUUGGCAAGCCGUCCGGCCUUAUGGUCCUUUCCUCUUUCUGCAGCUGCUUGUUUUCCCAGAACUCAUCUGUGCUGCUGACCAAGAGUUGUGUGUGUAGAAGAGAGAGAGAGAGAGCGAGAGAGAGAGAAAGUGUCCGUAUGUCACUGUCUUUGCCCACAAGCACUCCACGAGCAUCUUUCCAUUCCUCAAUAUGUCAGACUUGAAUAUGGAAACGGGCAACUUUUCAUCACUCAACCACCAUGUGCACAUAUGGCCACAAAGCUGAUGGUGAAUGUCAAAGUUGAGAGGAAAGGCCAAGCAGCGGUGACAAAGCGAGAGCACCGCAGACAUCGAGGCCACACUUGUGACGGACAUAGAUCAAAGUACAGUUCUGGAGUUUUCCUUUAUAUGUGAAAUGUGAUCAUUUCACAGAUGUAUUUUGAAAGAAAAUCCCACCAGAUAUGACUCUGGGGAAAUGCUCUGUCCAAGGGUGAGUCCGUGCUAAAGUAUACAGUUUUAUCUUAUUGAAAAAACUUUUCUUACUUUUUUAAUAUUUAUUUAUUUAACUUACCUUGCUUAAAGAAUUGUGUAUGUGUUGUCAUAUUGCCUGGCACUUUCACAUGUAAUAAAUAAGAGCUGAAGUUAAAGCUUACGUAAUGUUAAAUUUAGCUACUAAAACCUAAAGAAAUUGUAGUUUUAGGUAAAGUCUUUUCCUGGGUCUCCAGGAAGUGCAUGGCGAGGUGUAUUCGCCACUUAACCCCCCAAAAACCACUAACUAACCAGCUGCUGGCGGCUCCAGAUGAAAUCUACUGAUAUGUCUAUAAUAUGUUAUUCCCCAUAUUGCAUAUAUUUCAGGAAAGGUCUACUUCAAAAAUGGUUUAACCACAUUCCCAGAUCUCUGCAUUCACCUAAUAGCAAUUAAUGCCAAUACUUGAGUGAAAAUAUCCAUUGUCCUUUAAGUGAUCCGGCCCGUAGCUCCAAAGAGUCUGUUAAUCUAACUUUGACCCUUGGUGUCUUGUAUUCUAUGUUGUAAAUGUCUAAAGCAUCUUCAGCCUUUGGCCUUGGGCAUUCUGGAUCAAUUCUCUCAAAGUCACUGACCCACAAAAGUUCUAAGCUUCUCCUCUUUUUUUUUUCUAGCGCACUGGUGUCCACACAAACAGUGGUGAGUGUUUCAUGAUUGAUGGGCUAUUGGGCCGGUAAGGUGGGAUGCCUGUGCACAAGCUGUACAGCAGCUGUUUUCUCCGAGCUCGACGGAGAGAUAGAGAACGUGUGUGCAAAAGUGAGAGAGAGAGAGAGAGAGAGAGAGAGGUCGAACAGAAAGCGUAGGGAGGGCAAAAGGAGGGCGAACAGGAAAAGCAAGUCUACCUUCCACUUGCCCUUCAGGCAGACCAGGUGUCUGCAGCUCCACGCUGAGUCGUACCACAGAAAGCUGGCACGGCUGCUUUCAUACAGGUCCUGCUCAUCGUUCUCUGCUUCUCCAAAGGAUGGACGCAAUUAACACACACACACACAAUGAGCACACGGGGAUAAAGAAAACGGGCUGAAAAUGACAACGCCCCAAGGCCCAGCACAGGGAGAGAAAAGAGAAAAGGGGGGAGGACAAAAGCAAAGAGAGGGACCCAGAGAAGCAUGGCAGAGACUUUUUUUUAUAAAGGGGCAGGUGGGGGAUUUGAGUGACUCCCAGGUUGCACUCUCCUUUUGUUUCAAUAUUAACGUUGCCACCUUUUUUUAAGCCCCCCCCCCCCCCCCCUCUCUCCCCCUCCUCUCCUCACCUGCACUGCUCCACUCCUCGCCGUGUUCUGCUGUUCGCUCAUUUUCAAGUGCUCCCAUCUCGCCCAAAACUCUGCAGGAAACACACAGCAGUCAAAGAAAGUUUGGCAGAAACCUUCAGGCCUGAAGCAAUGUUUUUCAUUCCUCAAUUCCACAGAUAUAAAAGCUCCGGAUGAAAGCAACAAAAAAAAAAACUCCUGUACCGAGAGCUGACAGCAUUACACACCAGUACCAGUGUUGGUGAAGGUUAGUGACUAAUGUGACUGGUUUCCAGUUAGCAAGCUGAUGGGGGUGCUCUCACAUUGUGUAACUCUCCUGCUAAACCAACUGUAGAGACACACCAGUGAAAUGUCCCAGCAUCUCAAGGGGGUGAUGUGACAGACAGGACUGCAGCUCGAUGCAAUUUGUGUAAACACCAUUAUCAUAGCAGGUAUCUUUCUAAUCCUGACAAAACUGAUUUCAUACAGCUGCUACAUUAGAAAAAUGCUUUGCCGUGUCUGUGUGAAAUACUUGCAAUGUUUGUAGUGGAUGCCAUUAAUAUUAAGGGGUGAUCUAUUGCAUUAGGAUUGCUAUUUCAUAAAGUCUGGGAAUUCCCAGAACAGAAUGUAAAAGAAUGUUAGGGACCGCAGCAGCCGAGGACAAGAUGUCCGGAUAGGACAAGCUCCAAAAACGUUGGACCGGUGAAAACAUCACAGCAUUAUUUUCACAAGCUGAGUAAGACCUUGGAUGACAUAUGAAUUAUCUUUUAGGUCGACAUGGUCAAACACAAUAGAAAAAUAGUUCCUUACUCAAACAUCCACCACGGUGUCGGUGAAAGGUAUGCUUUAACAAUAUUAGCAACUAGGUUUGUAUUUCCAGUUUCUAUACAAUUUGUGAAUGUGUGAAACCAGUCUUUAUUUUGCUCUUGAGCUGCUAAAUGUUCAACCCCGUUGAGUAACUCAUCGCUAACUUUGUAUGCUUGGUGUUCGACGGCUUAUGAGGUUUUAAGAGCUCUGACAAUACAAACAGUCCCUCACGGGAGCAAUGAGAGAGAACAGAAACGACUACUGCAGCCUAGUCACACAAAAGUAGUCAGGAGAUCCACGUUGAUUUAAAAAAUACGGAUUGUGAACGCUUUAAUGUCACUUCAUGUUGGACGUUUCCUUUUAUAGACUGAGAUAUCCAUUGUGAUUAAGCUAAUAAGUAUCCUUAUGGAAAAAGGUUAUUCGAAUGCAAAACCAGUUUUCUCCCCGACACUGAAAAUUUUACCCCUGUGUAAAAGCAUCUUUUUAAUACAUAUAUGAGUGACCGAGCUUCCAUGUCAUUGUUUUAUCACACAAUGCAUUCAUUGUCGUCCCUACAGAUGUUGUCCUUUUUACUGAGAGCAGUACAUAAGUAUAAAUACAAUUUUCGUAAUGAAAUUGCAAUGUAUAAUUUAAUGGUGACGUUAGCUCGGAUCAGCAUAGAUGUAGAGGUAGAAAUGAAUUCUGUGUCUCUAACAUGGAACUUUUGUAAUUCUUCAUGCUGAUGGAAAGUAUUCUUUGAGCCACGACAGAAGCUGAGGUUGGAGAGGAAAAAAAACCUCACAAAUGGCCAAAUGUCACUAAUUAGUUUGAACUCUGCAUUUUUGAUGAAGCCAGUUGGUGUGGUGGGGUGGUGGUGUUGGCAGGGGGCUGCACAAUGAGGGAGGAGGGGGGGGGGAUUGAUGGGCUGUGCCUCAAAAUGUAAAUUAAACAAAAGGCGGGAGUUCACAUGACAGCUUUUGAGGGGCAGGGUUGGAGCUUUCUGGUUUUCUUUGUGAGAAGGAGAACAAGUGGAGCACAGUGCACCAAACGCUGGCACAUGGCAAGCAGCUCGGAGGCAGCGGAAGCCAAAUAACUUCUGUUCUAGGGAACAACAAAGGAGGAACAAACAGUGUGGCCCACAACUUUUUGGUCCUUAUUAUUCUGUGAUUUCGUAAUCAAGAGGAUGGGAUCUGAUCUACAAACCAUGGACAGCUGGUUCAUUUCCACUGCCGGGCCUUGUGGGAGAUGUAGUUUCUUCUCUCAACGACAUAUGCAAAUCCCAACUGUCCCUCCCCUCUCUCUCCGUAAUUGCCGACUUUUCCGUAACAGAAGGAGGCCCAUUUGUGUUGUGCGUGUGUAUACGUGUGUGCGUGUGAGUGAGAGAGAGUGUGUGUCUGUGUGCGCAGCCUGCGAUCUCGUCAGGGUCCAGCCUUAUUUAAAGGGAUAAAUAAAAGAUGCACAGUUCUUCUAAAAGAGCCCGGCAGAAGGUAGGCGCAGACACGCAGGAUACAGAGGGCUUCUUCAGAGAAUCUGGGCCGCUCUCGGCACUGCAUCGAUUUUCCAUUUGGGUUUCACAAGGUUCAAACACACGGCAUUGUGGGCCGCAGAUUGUGUUGCCUGGGCGUCCCUGAAGUGACAUGUAAGAAGCCGGCCCCCCCAUCUGCUUGACAGAUUUGUGCAGGCAGCCCCUGAAAGCCUUGGCAGAGGGAGACAGGUGGGGAUGGACAGACAGCCAGACAGACAGACCGAAGGACGAGUGCCACUCAACACUCCUCAGCCGUCACCGCAGCAGAGGAACUGAAGCUAACUUUGCUGCUGACAAGCCGCGGCAGACAGGCCACAGACCAAACUUUGCCAAAGCAAGCAGCGGUCUGAACCUGCGGCGGCCUGAAAAGAGCGACGGUGGACCGAUGCACCUGCCUGUAAGCUGGUGGAAGCUCCGCCGGCCCGGGAACAGACCUGCUGAUGAUACACCCUGACAGCCUGGAUCAGGGUAAAUUAUGGUAAUGUCAUGCAGUCAUCUGCCUGGUGCCAUUUGACUCGACAAAAACACUUAAACACUCCAUCUAUUUCUCUAAGUGGGAAGCAGAGAAGCCAUCUUGGAUGGGUGGGCCUGGGUGGGUUUUUUAACAGGAACAGAGCAGAAGAAACCUAGUGACGCUCCAGUGACAUCCCACAGUCUGUUCAACACAGAGGCAGGCGGACAUGCAUCAUCGAAACCUGCCAAAGUGGUCUGAUGUGUUGCCAUAUAUUUAAAAUGAGAGGACUCACAUGGCAAUGUUUACUUUUCUUUUUGUGGCAUUAUAUUGCAUUUCGAUUUCAGACUAAGCUAGCAUUGUCUUUUUAUAGAAUUGUUUAGCAUUGUUUGCUCUAUAAACUUCAUUCCACAUUUGUUUAGAGAUGCAGGGGUGGAUCCUAAAUAAGCAAAGAUGGUUUAAUAAAGUCGCUGGAAGGACAAACUUACUGACGACAAGAGCGAGUUUGAAGCUAGUCCUGCAAGGUAAUUCAAUUAGCUCAGCUCAAAGACUGUAGGAACAUGUUUAGCAUCUGCCUGUCAAAGGUAAAACGAAAAUGCAACUCUAAAGCUCACGUCGCCUAACUAGGGAAGAAGCGAACAAGCGUAUUUUUAAACACGCACUCUCAAAAUGCCUCUCUAGCAGGAUACCAUUAGACAUGCUUUUAGCGUGAUCAUAUUAAACUUGUUAAGGGCCACGAAGUAAUGACUGUUCAAUCAAAUCAAUGCUCUCAUUCAAACUUGGAAUCAAUAACAAUAUGUUCUCAUUAUGAAAUGUAUCUUCCUGCACUGCUGAGCAGCUGCUCUCCCCCUCACUUCUCUAUCUCCUUCUCUCGCUCACUCGACCCGCUGAAACUCAAGACGCGGCUAUCAGUGCGUCAGAUAGACACAAUCGAUACAAAACGUGUCAGCGGGAGGUUUGUCAGACUCUAUAUAGAGAGUCUGAUUCAAUGGAAUGACGCAGUUGGACUGCUGUAUAUCAGUUCCUCGUCCCCGCAAGGUACACCGGGUUACGAUGAACGGGAAUGUGUAUCUUAUUAUUGCGGCAGUUGCUUAAGUCAGAGCUACGGAGGAGUACAAGGGACAGAUCUUAGAAUACAUUUCCAAUGCACUGACAAAAACACAAGAGAAGGACAUCAGCAACCAGAACGGUAACCAAGCACUGAUCUACAUCUACACAUCUACAAGGACAUGUUUGUUAUUUCUGGUAUCCCGUGACAACCAAAGCUACAACCUGUAUGGGAUUGUUGAUUCCCAGUUGGUGCAGUGGGAUGGUGGUGUUGGCAACUCCCAGAGCCAUGCACAAGGAACCUCUGGCCAUUACCCAGUAUUGAAAAUGAGUCUCAUUAACACUCAAUUUCACACCCAACAUUGAUGUCACAGUGUACUAACACACGUUGGAGUAGACGUAUACAUCAUUGCAACAAGGUGAGAAGUAAAAUCCCGGCAAAAAAAUAAAUAUAUUUUCACCUGCUCUUAAGUUGUUACCAGGAAGCUUCAUAAUAAAGACCAAUACAGUUUUGCAAAUCAAAUUUAUGAAAGUAUAAGGGGUCAGGAAUGUUUCAUGAUGAAAUUAAUAAAUGCUGAGGUAAUAAGAAACCUGGUUUUCUCGUUUGACAGAAUAACUCAAAAUCAAAGCCAAAUCGCCAAGCAAAUGACAACACUACUAUCAACCCAAUGCAAACAGUAAGAGCAGUGUGCCGCAAUACCUCUUGUUCCUUUAACCGAGUCUGGAAAACACAGAAAUUAGAGCAUAAUUAAUGUUAAUAAUUCAAGGUCAAUCCUAUUUACCCUCAACAAGAACUCUUGUACACAUUUAACUUCAACGAAGAUGACUGAGGGCUCAAUUUCCGCGGUGCUGUGUACUCUAUUUCCCUGAAACAGCAGUGCCUUAUUUGGUAAGUGAUAUUUGUUUAGAACAAAUUGACUAAUACCAUAUAUUCAUUUAAAAGAACACAGAUGGACAGGGCAAACAGCACCACCUGCCUCCCCCAUCACCAUGAACAUGUAUAUUUAUGCUUUUCCAACUACAUUAUGCAAAAUGCUUAAAGGAGAAAUCCAGCCACAGGAUGACGUAAAUGUUUGGAGCUGGUAUUUAACUACUUACAUUCACACACAACAAUUAUUAAAAAAAGAACCCGGAAAAGAGACCAUAUAGGAUUGAGGAAGCGCAGGAGGGGGCACGGAGAGAGUACAUCAGGCCAUUGCUCUGUCUGUGGCGCGCGGUGGAGAUAAAUGUCACUUCUAACCCUCCGCUGGCCUUAUGCAGCACAAACGGAGCGACAGCUCUCCUCUUAUCGUCAGCUGCUGCUCUCUCCCUCUCGCUCUAGAACAAUUAGCUUUAUGGUGGCUUAGCGCCUGUGAAAUGUCAUUCUGCCAGGUAAGCUAGCUAUUAUAUCACAAAGGCUGCAGCUGAGUCAAUUAUACAGCAAUAGGGGAAGAGGGGUAAAGAGCAGGAGAGGAAGAGGAGGGCCCCAGAACCGGGGCAAUGAAUUCAUGAGUUCAUCAAAGGAGAGGCCAGAGAGGUCAGCGGUGAGAGAGGCCGGGAGGAAGCAAGAGAAAGAGGAACCGGGAUGGAGGGCUUUAGUCCUUUAGAUUGCCAAUGCUAUGCUAAUAUGACAUUUGCAUAAGAGGAGACUACAUCAUCAAAUCAAAUAACGCACAAAUUUGGUUAAAAGGCUCAAUAUGAGUGUUUGCCUUUUGAUUUAAUAUCCUUCACUGUACUAGAAAUGAAUUGGUUGGUGGAAAUUGAAUGAAAUGAACAGGUAAUAAACAUGCAAUCAAAACCACAGCGGUUAGAUGUUAUACAUUUUGGUAUUUCUGCUCUAACCAUUUUUUUGUCCACUGUUCUCUUGUCUCUUCCUGCUUUGUUGUACUCACUGAGAUUUCUCUUUCAUUACAUUUUUUAAUUUGAUUGCUCUUAUCUUCACAUAUGGGAGUUUUAUUUCUACAGAGACAAAGUGCGUUCGCGCACUUAUUUCAAUUUAUUAAAAACAAUAGAUAAGACACAUGUAAAGUUUUAUACUAGAGAAAAAAGUGGUAGUCCAAGUACCACAACAUAAAUAUAUACACAUUAAGUUUUUACUAUAUGUCUGUUUUGUCCUUCACUUGUGACAUUUUUGCAGAGGAGAAAUACGGCAUAUGAAGGGAGAGGACAGAGAUAACCGAAAGCUAUGAGGAGCUUGUCACAGGCGCCGUCCUCUCUGCAGAGUGACCAGAUGGAGUGUGAUGCUCAGGGCACACAAAGGUGGCCCCUGGGGGGCCUCCUAUCCUCACCCUUUCACCCCUCCUCACCCCUAAACUGGAGUUCUGGAUGGGCAAAGGGACCAGGUCUCUGCUGCAGAGGCCACUGCCCCCCUCCCUUCAACCCUUUCCCUCCCGCGGCGGACAUUGCCCAAAUGCCAGCACGUCCCACCUGGGCCUAGCCAAGCCUGUCCUUACUGUCGGCGGGGGGGGCAGGCGUCACACGCAGCGCCAAGAGCACUCACCCCUGACGGGAACACAAUGACCCGAGGACUGGCUGGCUGACUGGGCUCGGUACAGAUAAUACUGUUAAUCGUGCAGAGUGGCAAACAGCUUCCCAGAACAAUGAGAAACCGGCGGAGCGGUGAUGGGAAAAUAUCUCCCACCGCUACCAGACACGCGGCCCCCACAGACAUACGUGAAGAUACGCAGUACGCACAUGCACUAGAAUAUGCACAUGCAUGCCUGCCUGGACCUACACACACACACACACACUUUAACAUGGAACAUUUUGAUUGAGCUCGUAGCUUCCUCUGGGCUCCAAUCAACUCAAGGUGUUCCAGUCUGAUAGAGAUGAGAAGAAAAGGUGAUUCCUACGUUUUAUUCGCACAGAGGACUGUGAAUCACCAGAAAUACUGCUGCCUCUUCUUUCUUAUAAUCUAAGUUCGGCACAUUGCUCUGAAAUUCUGAGUUGUUUUUUCUUUGUUUGGUUUUUGGUGAAAGAUAUCAUGCUCAUAUGUUAUGAAAGACGAUAUAAUUCUUCAAAUAUGUCCACACCAAAGCAAAAUUAAUAUGCCAUCGGUUCUCCAGUGCAGAAAUGUAGCACAGCCUCAGCGAUGCCUUUUUUGCUUGAUCAGCAAGAAUGAACAGUACAGCUGCAAAGACGCAGCGUAGACUGGCGAUGUGGAGAAGCCAUGCAGCGCUGUGUGGUGCUGCUGAAGCAUGGCUGGCUUUGAUUCACGUAACAUCCUUUUCGUUUGCAGAAAGGUCAUUUUCUGGCAUGUUCUUUCUGUAAGUUUCCCCAUGACUCCGUUUUCUACACAGUCAGACUGCUGCUGCUAGCUCUUCAGAUGUCCUCGGAUUGAGUGGCAGCCUCUGCGGUUCGCCUACAUCUGGGGUGUGAGGGGUAUGUGUCGCAAACAGUCACACGUCCCAGAAAUCCACUCUGUUUAUCACCUGCUGACAUUCAUAUUCAUGUCACUAUGCCUUGCCUGUUAUAGGAUUCUGUUGGUCAGCUGACCACCGAGGAUUAUUCUGCCUAAAAGCUGUUGACAGCAUCCGACAGCUUUUACCAGAAAGGUUCUCGAAGUGAUCCCGUCUUCUGAGCGGCACUAAUUUAAUGCUUAAAGAGCCGUUUGCACUGGAGAGGUCUCGCCACAUCCAACGCCGAGGUGGAGGUACAUCGGUUUCCUGUCAAGAAUAUAAAAUCUAACCAGAAAUUGACAUUAAACAAGACAACCAAACUUUAUUCUAAAAACAGGAAUGUGUUUGCAAUGUAGUGACACAGGCAGGAGAGGAAAAUGCCUACAAUGAAGAUAUUAUGGACAAAAUAUGCUGUACGGCAUAUUUAAAAUUCUUGAUAAUUGUCCACAUAAUUAUUUUUUGUGUUUCUAAUCCAUUAUAUACCUAUGACAUAACUUAUUCAGUUAACCUUCCUGAUGGGAUUUGGCAGAAUGUCUGUGUGUUGGUGUGUGUGUGUUUGUCUCUUCACUGUUUGGCUCAUUUUUUGGCAGCCCCGCGUACUCUGCCAUGCAUACGGAAACAUGCAGGACUGGGCCUGGAAUCAAGGUCAGGCCUGGAAAACAAUGUAGGAACACUCCUAAGACCUGACUUUCUGCUGAGUUUGGCAUUGUGCUGCCUGUCCCCCGAGGCCCCGCAGCCAGGAGUCCCCCAUCAUGCUUUUCCAGACCAACCUGUAAUCAGCUGCAGGAAGACAGUCCUACUUAGGGAUGGCGAGACUGUUGGCAUGCUGCUUUUUUUUUUUUUUUUUGAAGAGACUACAUGGUCUUUUGGCACAAACAUAAGGCCUGCUUCAACCACCCAUUGAUUAAAUGUUUCGUAGCGGGAGCCUCCACCCUUAGGUCACACGGAUCCUUGCACACACAUAGUCGGCUAAAAAACCGAAGGGAAGAAAGGAAAAGAUAAUGCAUUUAGACAUUUCAGAUCAAUUUGAUCAAGUGAUUUUCAAUGAAAUCAGAUCAUUUUCUUGUGACAAAAGUGCAGCCUCACAAUCGUCCAAUCCCCAUUUGAAAACUCACAUUUUACUUGCUGAAAAUGUCAAGAGGAAAGACGACACAGGCUGAAAGUACAAAGAGAUGGAGAUCAGAGAGCCCCCAUGCCACUUUUGUGCUGACCUUAAAAGGAGCUGCGCACUGUGCAAACAUCUGGUCCAUCAGCUGGAUCCUAUGCAUCAGCGGGCACAGGGACACACUGGGACAGGUUGGCGGCUGCCUUUGACAGCAACAGUUAAUUUCCAACAUAAUCAAUUUAUGUGCAGCUCCAUAAUAACCAUCUGUGUUCCGCAGGAGGAGGACAGUCCUGAGGAACAGAACAGCGCUGGCUGCUUCUCCUCUCCAUGAGCGACGCCAGGAGCAAGAGGGAGGAGAAGGAAGUGGAGGAGGCGGAAGAAGAGAAGUUGAGGGGACGAGUGAAGGAGGGAAAGGAGGAGGAUGCAGGGGUGAAGAAGAGGAGGACAGGAGAAGUGAUGAUCCAUGGGAGUAAAGACUAAGUUUAGAAACUGAGGGGGGUGAAGGAGAAGUAGGAAAAGUAAACGGGAAAAAAAGUAAGCUGAGAACAAGAUGACCUUUUUAAACAUAGACAGCGAUUGAAGCCUUUGAGGUUAGAGCGGAUUGCAAAAAAGUGCGCCCAUCCUUUGUGCCUUUUUAUUACAUGAUGCAAACACACUGAUCGAUGCGGGUCUCCUCCCCAGCACCCUUCUUUGAAUUUGGUUUCCGCACAAGGUUAGCUCUCUUGGCACUUGAAGCCCACGGCAUCCUCAUCCACCUCCGAUGUCAAAAUGUAGCAGGGAAGGUGUCACUCAGGCGAUUACUGAAUCACCUUACUGAGCCAAUUACACUGUGCGCUGUCAAGGCCAAUGGAAAACAUCGCCUCACACACAGACACCCACAGCUUGGCUAGUGUGAAACAAAACAUGAAAACGGAAUUAAGCUCGAGUGACCCCUCACCCCACUACAUGUAAUUUUCAUGAGAGUAUUCAGCAUAAUGUGCAAGCUUUUGCAACUUCUGAGUUGCUUUGACCUUAAAAGGAAUGUUUUUUGUGAGGGGAUGAACCUUCACAUUGCAUUAGAACAAAAAUGGUGCUAGAUCAUUUGGAUGUUCAGAAAUCUAAAAAGUUAUUUCAUGACUUCAUGAAAAAACCUUUUUCUCUGGAAAUUGUUGUAUUGGUGGGCGAUUCAGCUUUCGUAUUCGCUCGGUGAGAAUGAAGAUGACAGUAUAUUUUAGGGAAUUACUGGCUGCCACAACAAAUUGAACUUCUUCUCUUCCGCAGGUAACCUUUCUAAGCACACAUUUACCGACCCUGUUUUAAACAGAGAUAGCUACGUGUACAUCGUACACAUGUAAAAUGUACUUUUGAGCACAGAUACAUACAAAUAGUGUUCAAACAUCAAAUGACGUCAAAUCCAGCUGCUAGACUGUGUGGUCUAGUGUUUUUUCACACACCACUACUGCUGGAUCCAGUCUACUGGUAGACCUGACCAAAGUCCGUCCAAGCUACCAUCCAUUAUACAUGUGCUGUGUGAAUGUCCAUGUGUCCCCGAACAUCCUCUGCUGUCCUAAUUGACAUGCAGUGGGCCCUAGCAGCUGUGACGCUUUCUCUGCAUGCACGUGUUUAAAUGUGUGUGUGUGUGUGUGUGUGUGUGUGUGUGUGUGUGUGUGUGUGUGUGUGUGUGUGUGUGUGUGUGUAUGGUGUGUAUAGCUCUCAGUAAAGCCCCGGCAUCCUCCAGGCCACCUGGACAUAAUGGCCUUCAGCUGCCACCAUCACCACCAAUACAAGCAGCAGCAAGAGCUGAGUUAGAGACGCUUCUCUACCACAUCCACCCAUUUAGUACACACCUCACACAGCUGUUUGCAAGUGCAAAAUAGACAAUGCAUGCAAACGCAUAACACUAUACCUUCUGAGGACAUAGGUGUACUUUAAAAGCUUUAAAGCUUUAAAAAUGAUGAUGUUUGAAAAGAGGUAUAGUGACCAUCCAGGACGUUCUGUGUGAUACCUAAAAGUUAGGCUAAUUGUUUGAUGUUAACACUGUUGGUGUAGACGUAACUACUCCAUACAGCUGCGGUUUGAUGUGAAGGCCUCUGUAGAGAAGGGAUAGAAAAGCAUACCUUCCUCUUUUGUUCGCAGUGCAUGUAACCUAGCCAGCGCACGUGUGCGUGGUUCGGAUGGGGGUUCGAUCUUCUUCGUUCUCCUCAUCUCCAAGUCUUGAUUCUAUUUUUUUUUUUUAUUUCUUCCUUUCCAAUAUCACAAGCCUUUGAUUCUGUCCCGCUUCUCAAUUCUUCAUGGAACUCCGGCAUUUCAAAGAGUUCUUCUUCUCUCCCCUCCUCCUUCCCAGGCGGAGUGCUGGCCAAGUCUGGGAGAGGGACUGCCCAUCAGAGGUUGGCUGCUAUCAGCAGGGGGCUGCAUGUCUCCAAUUCAGGUCAGCCUUGGCUACAGACGGGGACUUAAAAGCAAGCCACAACGCGUCCUGUGAUCCCAGUAAGCACGCUUGUUAGUGGAAUUGAUAACGGACCCAUACACCUGGGUCCUCUGAAGUUGGCAUGGCAUUUUAAAGGGGAAGACCGGGAGCCAGGGCAGCCAGCUACCGCAUGCAAACGUGUCGAACCGAGGAAGGGAGGGUUGGGGGGGGGGGGGGGGGGAAAGGUCUUUUUGGCAUGUGACGAAACAGAAUAUUUUUUGGUGGAGCGACCUAGAACAUUGUGGAAUUAUGUUCAAAUACAGGGCAUAUGGCAUGGAAUCAUUCUGAGAAUCCUAAAUAUGUUUUGGCUUCAUCAUGUUACCCCAUGUCAUUUUCUUUACAAAGUUUGAGUAAUAUGUAAAUGGCUACCAACAAAAUGUAAACACACUUGAGUUCCUUCUUUUCAUUUUCACAUCAACGUGAUGUCGUGUGUGUGUGUGUGUGUGUGUGUGUGUGUGUGUGUGAUUGUGUGAGAGAGGCAGCAGUACAGCUGAUGCACGUACCAGCAUUUCCCUUCCAACACAAGAGCCGUGCUCAGAUGCCACAUUUAUGAUAAUCAGAGUAUAAUUCAUUUAUUGGGUCUACCUUUGCCAUGUGUUGACCCCACGGCCAUGUUGCCAGCUCACAUCUGGCUGCAUGGUGCCGCGCUCAGUCCUGGAUGGGAUUUGCCCCUGGUGAUGGGGCAUCUGGGAGGCCAGAUGAAGCCGAGGCUUGAUGAGUGCUUUGUCUAUUAUGGAUAUGGGGCUUUAUGGAGACAUUGACAGCUGCACAUCGACAGUCUCCUGAGCGGGAGGCCUACUUCAGCAGUUGUGCGCUCCCUGUUGUGGAGAACACAGAGAACAAACGCAAAGCUCUGAGCGUCAGCCGGCUUCUCUCUUAUUACGUGUUUGAAGUAAAAGCUUAAAUUAAAAGGAAGACGUAAGAUGACAGUUUUUUGUUUGGUCUUUCGUUGAAAACCUUUCAUUCAUCAGCGUAGUCGUAAAACCGCACAGUUUAUUUGCUGACAGAAAUUCUAACAAAAGGAAUAUUCAGUAAUUGCAAACAACCUCACAUUAGGCAUUGAUGCACACAUAUGAUGCUGCUCCAAAACGUCUACAUAGACUACGGGUUUUGUAAAACCACCGUAAGCGAUGGGUUGCGGAUCGAAGCGGUGGAUGGAGAGAACUCAAAAAUGAAAGAUCACCCACCGACAAGAGACGUGUAGCUACAGACCAGGCAAGCCGAGCCGACGUUCUCCAACCUUCCCUCCUGCCCGCCAUUUGUGAAGGAUUUGGGGAUUUCAUAAUUUCCUGUUCUUUCUGAAAGGGGGAUGGCAGCACCUGGUCCACACAGCUGUACUUCAUUUAGAGAGCAAUUUGAAAAGAGCGAGGGGGAGAGGAGAGGAGCGGAGCAGCCUUGUCAUUAAGGGCUCCAGAAUGGCCUCCGUUUGUUAGACACAUGGCACAGAGUUAAUGCUGCUGAAUGGGGAAUAGACGCUGUUGAUGCUGUCACAAAAUUUUCAUAAGUGCUACGACAUCUGAAAAAGCCACUCCAAGUGUGGGGAGGGAGGGGAAUUCAAAUUUUUUCUUAUCAAAGAGGGGGUUUUUUUGUAGGUAAUUGACAGCUGCGGCUAGGAUGUAAGCACGUGCUUCAGUCUGCUCGGAUGGAUAUUCUAUUUGUGUAGUAUUUCAUCUUUUACGCACCUUGAAGUUUGUUGCACACAGGUGAUGGCACUGCUGGAGUUAGUUGCAAUGAGUUGACAAUGAGAAUGAAACCAGAUUGUUGGUAAACUGAGGUGAUGCAAAGGUUUGUUGUGCGGAUGCGCAGCUGCCUCGCCUCUUCGGAGUUGAUCUAAUUGAUUUUGACGUGCACAUGUGCAGGGGGAGAAAAAAUUGUGAGGCGGGAUCAAAGGCAAGCGCUUUAUUGCCACAUCACAGGCCCCUGCUGCAUUUUGAAUUCUACCAAUCUGUCAAACAGUCAGAUAAAAUCCUGCAAUGAAGAGAUGCGCUUCUCUCUCUCUCUCUCUCACACUGUCUCUCUCUCUUCCCCUCCCAUCCUCUCGCUCUCAUGCUCGCUCCUUCCACGCUGCUCAUGAAUCCUUCGCUCUGUCUCUCCUUUAGAGUAAAUCUCAAGUGGUAAGAAGUGAUGCAAGAAGGCGGUAUGGAAACACUGAUCCACAAACGUAAAAACAACUUUCCACUUGUCAGGGACUUGACAGAUGUUAAAGAAAUAGAAAUAGAAAUAGAGAGUACAGAAAGUUGCAGAGUGCCACAAACUUCUUAACUGUGCAAUUGCAAGUGGGUCUAUUUGUUCUUCACUUUGAGACAAAUUUCUUUUUUUACUUUUUAUCAUGAAACUAAGUGACUAUUUACACCGGAGAGUCACAAAGUAAAAUUCAUCCACACGUCAUCUCAGAUUGAGUCAUGCCAUUUUAUCUUAUGUGGGGUGUUAUAUUUGUAGUAAAAUUUGUCGUACAGAGCAAGAUGGAUGGCAUGCUUAAUACUAUACUAUACUACACCUCUAUUUUCUCACUUUUUGCUCAUAGUCCAGCAAUCCAGGUGAAAUUAGACAAGUUCCAAAAAUGUAUUUUAUAACUGCUAAUUUCAUUGCAUCUUAAACAAUGAUUUCUAUCUGCAAAAGAUAUGAAGGCAACUCUUAAGCGGGAACAAAUAUAGCACACACACACACACAACAGAAACUCUUUUGGUUUCACACCUUACAAGCACACAAUAAAGCACCCGGCUGUCUCUUUCAGUGGUUAGCCAUCUUGCCUGCGCGGUGCGCAGUGGGCCUGCGCUCUGUGCUCAUUGUUAAUGGGAUGUUAGUACGUGGCUCUGAAAGCGUGUGCCUGUGUCUGUGGGCAGAGUGUAAUAACAGAACCACAGUUGGACUAACCACGCUGAGCACAAAAUGAGGAGAUGAGGGUAACAGACGCACACACACACACACACACACCUGGCAGGUGUGUGAGGAGGCUGUGUGAUAUGGUGCCGGGCUCCCACAACCGACCGGUCUCAGAGAGCUUCACAAAUGAGUCAGAAGCAAAUCCUGUAACAAGAACACCAGUAGAGAAUAUCUCCACUCAGCCCAGCCAUCCACUGCCAAAAUGCAUAUUGUAUAAUACAUUUGUUCACUCGAUCUCACCUCACGCCGUAAGCCUCUUCCAACAUUCAUUGACACUGACAUGACAGUGACGGAUUCCUCAGUAAGAACUGCAACUAAGCGGCGUCCUCUGCAACCACACAGCGACUCGAUGAGAUCUGCCUGGAAACUUGUGAGUGGGCUCUGCUGUUAGUCGAGUGUGCCUUUGGCAGGGCAGUGGUGGUAGUG